Molecule: ribosomal RNA, 253 nt
Filed under: uncultured bacterium
Lineage: Bacteria
Description: partial 16S ribosomal RNA
Rfam family: Bacterial small subunit ribosomal RNA
Source: RNAcentral
UACGGAGGAGGCAAGCGUUAUCCGGAAUUAUUGGGCGUAAAGCGUCCGCAGGUGGCACCUCAAGUCUGCUGUCAAAGACCGGGGCUUAACCCCAGAAAGGCAGUGGAAACUGAAUAGCUAGAGUGCAGUAGGGGUAGAGGGAAUUCCCGGUGUAGCGGUGAAAUGCGUAGAGCUCGGGAAGAACAUCGGUGGCGAAAGCGCUCUGCUGGACUGCAACUGACACUCAGGGACGAAAGCUAGGGGAGCGAAUGGG